GCUGCUGGAACACUGCAGAGCAAACGCAAACCAACAGCCAACAUGCUGCUGGCUCUAUGGAGUCCUCUGACACCACUUCUCUUUUGUUUCGACCCUUUCCCUCAAUCUUGCUUUGGAAAUUACUGCCAAAAACAGUGCUCCCCACAGGUCAGGACCUGAGAUUCAGCAGUCUCGCCAGACUCACAGUGCUGUAACAACUCCAUCAGGCAGUUUCUGAUGUGGCCGUUAGCUCCUGACUCCAACAGGAUCUUUGAAGCAACCUUUGAAGAUGGGAGAGAUGGUCCCCUUUGUGCUCGUAAACAAAGGUGGCCUCCGCCACCAUCACAUCCUCCUCUAACCCCUGAGGCUGAUAGGAUCCUGAUGGGUUUUCAAUCAACUUGAGGUCAUUUAUUACAGCUUUGAGCAUCAUUCGAAUUUAAAUCAACCGACUUGAGGUUUUCGAGGCCUGUACAAUCACCCCGUGGCAGAGGGCUGACAGUGCCAUUUGCCUUUCAGAAGACAAAUAACUAUGAUAAAUGUCCUUCCAAACUAAACAGCACUUUGGAAAAAGUAAAAAGGAAUUUUAAUCCAACUAGCAGAGAUUCUAUUUACAUUUUCCAAAGUAAUCCUAAGUCAAAAAUCUAAGGACACUUCGGAGAAAAAUGAAAAAAGAGCCUAGGCAAUAAAUGUCUUUUCAAAAGAGACUUGGCCCAUGGGGAAACUUUUCAACAGAGAGCAUGGCCCCACUGACCCAGGAGGGAGAGAAGCAUCCUCAUGGGCAAAUCAGAGACUGGAUCAUGAAAAAUGUCCGCAACUCACCUGACUCACCAACAAAUCACGGCUGCGGCUGACACCGGUGUGCAAAGCCAGAGAGGAAGCGCUGGGACCAUUUGUCUGUGUCACAUUAUUAGACAGCUUUCCAGUGGCUACUUUAUUGGGGGGAGUCUUGCAAUGCAGACAGCUUAAACUUGGGUUUUGCGUGUAAUUUGCUAUUUUAGAGCAGUUUAUUUCUCUCACCUGCAUACCCCAUGGGGGAAGACGCACUGAUUACUUUAAUUCUAACAUUUGGAGUGGAACCCAUUCAUGAAACUUUCUGGCUGUGUGAUUCAAACGAAGGCUUCUCUUUCCUCUUUUUGUUCUCACAAGAAAAUCAAUUCACUUGAAGAGCCUCUUAAUCCCAUUUUUGCAAUCAACAAUUGCCACUUGUAUAUCGCUCUAAUAGAUUAAGAAGUGGGAUGAUGCGGUUGUCUGGUCUAAUUCAACCCUAUUCAGGUGGCUGCAGCCCGAGGCACUUUGUAGUGCCAAGUGCAGAGCUCGACAGGAAGACUUUUGCUAUCAUAAUUUCCUGUGGAGCUAUGCACUGCCCCCACUGAGGAGCCUGAAUUACUUUGAAUUAGGCUCGACAACCACAGAGAGUCGAAAUCCAGCAAGCAACAAUAACCAACUCUUUGAGCAUGACUUGCAUGGGUUAUUUUUUUCUUUGCAUUAGCACAGAAAGGAUGAAUUUCAAAAUGCACAUCUAUUUAAAUGACAGCAACCUGCCAUAAAUCAAGUGUGAAACAAAAGAGAAAACAGUUGAAGUGAGAGAGAAGUUGGAGUGGAGGAAAAAUUAAUCAAAACAGUUUUCAAAAACUUCAUAGUUUGAGCCUGUGAAAAAUUUCAGGCCUACACUAUCACCAUGACAACCCAGAACAAGCCCAUGUUGGAUAACCACAUCAGAAAGGGGCUGUUUUGUAAGGAUGAAGCCCUCUCAUAUCCAUCCUAAGUUCAAGUCUCACUUCUGAAUGCCUUAAAAAAAUCACAAAAAUAAAAAUGUAAAUAUAAAAAGGUAUCCAGGCUUCUUUGGUGCUCUGGUAACAGGCAAAUCUUCUUGUGUGAUUUUAAAAUGAUUUUAUCAUGAAGUCCAUUCUAACCCCCAGGCAGGCAUCACCUCAGGUAGGCGAUGUUUGAAUCAUAAAG
Bubalus bubalis (water buffalo) is the source of this 1938-nucleotide long non-coding RNA. RefSeq lists it as uncharacterized. The transcript is spliced from 3 exons. Lineage: Eukaryota; Metazoa; Chordata; Mammalia; Artiodactyla; Bovidae. The record is from RefSeq and is a predicted model, not a curated record.